UCUGCAUGUAUAUCAAAUGUGUUUUACUAUAUAAUAUAAGAUGUUAUUACAUAAUUAUAACAAAUGUUUUUUUAUUUACAGGAUUUCAAGUCCCGUUGUGAAAGAAACUAAAGUCUUACAAAACCUUUAAGAAAUAUGGAGCUCGAUGCAAGAAAAGACAUCCAGGCAAUGGUUGAGCGUGUGAUUCCAGGCUUACAGUUGGGCGACAUUGUUGUAGAGCGUAAGAUUGCUUUGAGCUACGUCACUUCCUCGACUGAAGACAACAUGGAGUACUACAUCAAACUCCUCUGCUUCGAAGAUAAGGAUAAAAACUGCAUCCAUGUACGGAUUCAAACAGACAGAGAAGAUGUUCCGAAAUACCUGACCAAAACUGAACCCAUGAUGGUCCGGGACGAAGUAACACCAUUCGUCUGAUUGUAAAAGUUUUGAACAUAAUAAAAAUGUUAUGAACAUU
Magallana angulata is the source of this 454-nucleotide long non-coding RNA. RefSeq lists it as uncharacterized. The transcript has 2 exons. The record is from RefSeq and is a predicted model, not a curated record. Lineage: Eukaryota; Metazoa; Mollusca; Bivalvia; Ostreida; Ostreidae.